UAUACAAAAGUAAAAUUCCUGUAAAGUUUUUUUAAAAAAAGUGGAUUUAGGGAGGACUAAAUCCACUUCUGCUCCCUAAGCCCCUCCAGAAGCGGGAACGCCCACAGCGGCGCAAAACAGCUACACCACGGAAAAAGAAGGCGUAGCCCAUAGGCGCUCAUGGAACAGCGAAAAACUGGCCCCCUUUCCGAGCGCUCAGCCCCGCCUCCAUGGCCCAAAGGAGCAUAGGAUGAGAACUAUCCCGGGGACCAAUCAGCGUGCACGCCCGGCGUGGACGAGCCCCCCUCUCCGCACCCAAUCACCUGCGACCGCGCCCUACAAAACAUCCGGCCAGUGCCGGCCAAAACCCUCAGGUACCCUGACUCUGGUAUUCCCGCCUGGUGUUGACUGACGGAGCGCUGACAGGCACGUCCAGGGCAAGGCUGCUCCCCCGCGUCCCGCCCUCCCCAAACAUCUCUGACGGAGGGUUGGCUGCAGCCCAGGAAGCACUUUCGCGCCGCGGCCUGCAUCUCAGCCCCGCCCCACCGAGCAGGAAGGAGGGCUGUGAAGAAUUCCCCGGCUCCCUUGCUAGCCUAAAAACAAGCCCACUUGUUC
Eublepharis macularius is the source of this 594-nucleotide long non-coding RNA. RefSeq lists it as uncharacterized. NCBI's taxonomy places the organism in Eukaryota, Metazoa, Chordata, Lepidosauria, Squamata, Eublepharidae. The record is from RefSeq and is a predicted model, not a curated record. The transcript has 3 exons.